Molecule: ribosomal RNA, 630 nt
Filed under: uncultured Acidobacteriota bacterium
Lineage: Bacteria; Pseudomonadati; Acidobacteriota
Description: bacterial SSU rRNA
Rfam family: Bacterial small subunit ribosomal RNA
Source: RNAcentral
CAAGUCGCACGAGAAAGUGGAGCAAUCCAUGAGUACAGUGGCGUACGGGUGAGUAACACGUGGAUCAUCUACCUCUUAGUGGGGAAUAACCCUGGGAAACCGGGGCUAAUACCGCAUAAGCUCGAGAGAGGAAAGCAGCAAUGCGCUGAGAGAGGAGUCCGCGGCCGAUUAGCUAGUUGGCAGGGUAAAAGCCUACCAAGGCAAAGAUCGGUAGCCGGCCUGAGAGGGCACACGGCCACACUGGCACUGAAACACGGGCCAGACUCCUACGGGAGGCAGCAGUGGGGAAUCUUGCACAAUGGGGGAAACCCUGAUGCAGCGACGCCGCGUGAGCGAUGAAGCCCUUCGGGGUGUAAAGCUCUUUCGGCAGGGACGAUCAUGACGGUACCUGCAGAAGCAGCUGCGGCUAACUACGUGCCAGCAGCCGCGGUAAUACGUAGGCAGCGAGCGUUGUUCGGAGUUACUGGGCGUAAAGGGUGUGUAGGCGGUUGCUUAAGUUUGGUGUGAAAUCUCCCGGCUCAACUGGGAGGGUGCGCCGAAUACUGAGUGACUCGAGUGCGGGAGAGGAGAGUGGAAUUCCUGGUGUAGCGGUGAAAUGCGUAGAUAUCAGGAGGAACACCGGCGGUGUAG